This 429-nucleotide ribosomal RNA is filed under the name uncultured bacterium. RNAcentral's name for it is "bacterial SSU rRNA". It matches the Rfam family "Bacterial small subunit ribosomal RNA", at positions 355 to 776 of the family's 1533-position model. The record is from RNAcentral.
UAGGGAAUCUUCCACAAUGGGCGAAAGCCUGAUGGAGCAACGCCGCGUGGGUGAAGAAGGUCUUCGGAUCGUAAAACCCUGUUGUUAGAGAAGAAAGUGCGUGAGAGUAACUGUUCACGUUUCGACGGUAUCUAACCAGAAAGCCACGGCUAACUACGUGCCAGCAGCCGCGGUAAUACGUAGGUGGCAAGCGUUAUCCGGAUUUAUUGGGCGUAAAGGGAACGCAGGCGGUCUUUUAAGUCUGAUGUGAAAGCCUUCGGCUUAACCGGAGUAGUGCAUUGGAAACUGGGAGACUUGAGUGCAGAAGAGGAGAGUGGAACUCCAUGUGUAGCGGUGGAAUGCGUAGAUAUAUGGAAGAACACCAGUGGCGAAAGCGGCUCUCUGGUCUGUAACUGACGCUGAGGUUCGAAAGCGUGGGUAGCAAACAGG